RNAcentral lists this ribosomal RNA (413 nucleotides) under uncultured Prochlorococcus sp. Its description in RNAcentral is "bacterial SSU rRNA". It matches the Rfam family "Bacterial small subunit ribosomal RNA", at positions 505 to 916 of the family's 1533-position model. The record is from RNAcentral. Lineage: Bacteria; Bacillati; Cyanobacteriota; Cyanophyceae; Synechococcales; Prochlorococcaceae.
GUGCCAGCCGCCGCGGUAAUACGGGAGUGGCAAGCGUUAUCCGGAAUUAUUGGGCGUAAAGCGUCCGCAGGCGGCCUUUCAAGUCUGCUGUUAAAGCGUGGAGCUUAACUCCAUUAUGGCAGUGGAAACUGAUCGGCUUGAGUAUGGUAGGGGCAGAGGGAAUUCCCGGUGUAGCGGUGAAAUGCGUAGAUAUCGGGAAGAACACCAGUGGCGAAGGCGCUCUGCUGGGCCAUUACUGACGCUCAUGGACGAAAGCCAGGGGAGCGAAAGGGAUUAGAUACCCCUGUAGUCCUGGCCGUAAACGAUGAACACUAGGUGUCGGGGGAAUCGACCCCUUCGGUGUCGUAGCUAACGCGUUAAGUGUUCCGCCUGGGGAGUACGCACGCAAGUGUGAAACUCAAAGGAAUUGACGG